UGGGUGACGAGCGGCGGACGGGUGAGUAAUGUCUGGGAAACUGCCUGAUGGAGGGGGAUAACUACUGGAAACGGUAGCUAAUACCGCAUAACGUCUUCGGACCAAAGAGGGGGACCUUCGGGCCUCUUGCCAUCAGAUGUGCCCAGAUGGGAUUAGCUAGUAGGUGAGGUAAUGGCUCACCUAGGCGACGAUCCCUAGCUGGUCUGAGAGGAUGACCAGCCACACUGGAACUGAGACACGGUCCAGACUCCUACGGGAGGCAGCAGUGGGGAAUAUUGCACAAUGGGCGCAAGCCUGAUGCAGCCAUGCCGCGUGUAUGAAGAAGGCCUUCGGGUUGUAAAGUACUUUCAGCGAGGAGGAAGGCGUUAAGGUUAAUAACCUUAGCGAUUGACGUUACUCGCAGAAUAAGCACCGGCUAACUCUGUGCCAGCAGCCGCGGUAAU
RNAcentral lists this ribosomal RNA (443 nucleotides) under uncultured bacterium. Its description in RNAcentral is "bacterial SSU rRNA". It matches the Rfam family "Bacterial small subunit ribosomal RNA", at positions 85 to 524 of the family's 1533-position model. The record is from RNAcentral.